CUAAGGGUGGGUCUGUCCUUCGUGCGGGAGGGGUCGCGCGGCCGCAAAUCAGUGCCGUGAACGCUUCGGGUUCGGGUCUGCUCUCGCGCGAGUUGCAAGGGCGGUGAUCCGCGUGCGAUACACCAUCCGAUCGCUCGUGGGCCACCCGGUGCAUGGUCUCUUGGUGCGCGGUCGCCUCUUCUCGCCGACAACGAGCACGAUCGAAGGCGGAUGGAACGUGGCGCUUUCCUGCUUUCCUGAUUCCCCCGCUUCUGUCAGUAAUAGAGAAAGAGAGAGAGAGAUAGAGAGUGAGAAAGAGAGAGUGACGGAGAAACGCACACGAGCCCCCCCGGUACGUAGGUACCGCUCCGGUCGUUCAUGGCUGCGGCUCGGGGUGGGGGAAAACAAGCCCUGUAACGACGUAAGAUCCCAAAAGCUUUAUGCAGGAAUAUGUCAAGUUUAAAAAUCGUGUUGGUAAUGCACUUGCUUGCGCUACCCUUGAGAACAAUGGAUUCUGACCAAAGAAAUCAGCAGGUGCAUCAGCACUGAACAAAAAAAAGCAAAAAUAAAGUAAUCAAUGCCUGCUGCACUCACGCCAUCGACUCUGUACAAGACUUAAGAUUUAUUGAAGUAGUACGUGAGUAGCAGCUACUCACGCCACACUCUCAGCUGUACAUAUAAAUUUAAAUACAUAUAUAUAUAAUAUAUCGUCGUAUAUAUAUAUCUAUAUAUAUAUAUAUACACAUCAUAUAUAUACAUAUAUAUAUAUAUAUACAUACAUAUAUACAUAUAUAUGUAUUUAUUUUUUCGCACAUGGCAGCCAUGAAGCAUGGCAAGACGAGUCAAGACGACGUAUGUUACGUUGUCGCCAAAUAUGAUUACGGUGCACAGGGCGCCCAGGAACUAGAUUUACGUAAGAAUGAUCGUUAUCUAUUACUGGACGAUUCGAAACAUUGGUGGCGAGUGCAAAGUGCGAGGGGACAGGCGGGAUACGUGCCGAGCAACUAUGUUAAGAAGGAGAAGCCUUCGUUGUUCGACAGUAUUAAGAAGAAAGUUAAGAAGGGUUCCGGCUCUAAGACAUUGCCAUCCAGUAACUCGCCGUCUCGUGCGGUUGAGUCACCCAUCAUGGCGCGACGUCUACCGGCCGAUCCGAGCGAAGCGAUCGGCACCGCGGUUGUCAAGUAUAAUUAUCAGGCACAGCAAGCUGACGAGCUAUCCCUCGUGAAGGGCACUAGAAUUUUGAUACUCGAGAAGAGCAACGAUGGUUGGUGGCGAGGCCAAAGCGGCACCCAAGCUGGCUGGUUUCCGUCGAAUUACACCCAGGAGGAGGGCGAUGCCGACGACACGCUGCACACGUAUGCGAUGGCCGAGAAUGUACUCGAUAUCGUGGUGGCUCUUUAUUCGUUCUCGUCCAACAAUGAUCAGGAGUUAUCGUUCGAGAAAGGCGACCGUCUCGAGAUCCUCGAUCGUCCACCGGCGGAUCCGGAAUGGUACAAGGCGAGAAACAGCCAGGGCCAGGUCGGAUUGGUGCCGCGCAAUUAUCUUCAAGAGCUCAGCGAAUACUUGACGCAACCGUAUCGCGAACGCGGUAUGACGAGCAGUGAGAUAAGUCAAGGAGAUUCCCUCGAACGGAGGCCGGAUCCAGGUGAUCGGCCGCAUCUCGUCGGUAAACCCUGGUACUAUGGUAGUAUUACACGUUCGCAAUGCGAUACACUGCUCAAUCAACAUGGCCACGAUGGAGAUUUCCUAAUCAGGGAUAGCGAAACCAACAUGGGCGAUUAUUCGGUAUCCUUGAAAGCACCAGGACGUAAUAAGCACUUUAGGGUACACGUGGAAGGAGCGCUAUAUUGCAUCGGUCAAAGGAAAUUCCACACAUUAGACCAGCUUGUAGAUCAUUACCAGAGGGCGCCAAUUUACACCAAUAAGCAAGGUGAAAAGUUGUACUUGGUACGCCCAUUACCAAAAGGCAAUGCCAGUAGCAACGGUUGCUAGAUGAAUUCGUGCCAUGAAGAAGAAGAAGAAGACAGUCCAUGCGCUUUCAGAUGUAUCGCUAAGAUACGCGACGCCUGCCUAGUAAUAUCAAUAUCAUCAUACACAUCUCUGAAUCUUUUACACACACAUUCUCCUCGGAGCUUCCAGACUACUCAGCAAACGAACAAGGAAACAUAAAUAUGGCAACUAUGUGAAACUAAUUGACAACACAACAAGGCUUAUAUCUUUAUAUUCAUAUGUAAUUGUAAUACGCGAACCGACCAUGUUAUUACAAUUAAUAAUAUAUUACAACUGCAUAUAAUAUAGACUGCGCAAGUGUAAUGAUCAAGUAAUAAUUAAUUAUCAUGCAAUUAUGAAACGAUUAAGUCGAUCCUUACUCUAGAUCUAUCGGUAUUCAAUUAUAACAAAGACUAAGUGUUCAUUUGUGAUUUUGUAUUUAUUAGAAGUUUUUAAGUAAAUAAACUGUAUGUAAGUGUGCAUAAAAAAAGAGAUAGAAUAUAUCCUCGAUUUUACUUUCA
RNAcentral lists this unclassified non-coding RNA (2489 nucleotides) under Camponotus floridanus (Florida carpenter ant). RNAcentral describes it as "cytoplasmic protein NCK1, transcript variant X3". Lineage: Eukaryota; Metazoa; Arthropoda; Insecta; Hymenoptera; Formicidae. The record is from RNAcentral.